RNA transcript from Pan troglodytes (chimpanzee), 2018 nucleotides. It is a transcript of the gene named flavin adenine dinucleotide synthetase 1, with no coding region annotated. The transcript is spliced from 8 exons. NCBI's taxonomy places the organism in Eukaryota, Metazoa, Chordata, Mammalia, Primates, Hominidae. The record is from RefSeq and is a predicted model, not a curated record.
GGCUAAAGCCUGAGAGCGACAGUUGAAUAUACCAAUGGGACCCUGGAAGAGUCUAAGCGACAGUCAAAAUCACCAUUCAAUGUCAGCUAGGUGCAAGGCGGGACUUUAAGUACGGAAGCUGCCCCGGGACAUGAGGAAAGGAACAAGGGAAAGACCCGGUGAAGGGGCAGAACAGGCAGGUUCCCUCGACCCAGGACCCCCUGUUCCCAGGCUAUGGCCCCCAGUGCCCUGUAGACCUGGCAGGCCCCCCGUGCUUGCGACCCCUAUUUGGGGGUCUGGGUGGCUACUGGAGGGCCUUGCAGAGGGGUAGAGAAGGCAGGACCAUGACAUCUAGGGCCUCUGAACUUUCUCCGGGGCGCAGCGUGACGGCUGGCAUCAUCAUUGUUGGAGAUGAGAUCCUUAAGGGACACACUCAGGACACCAACACCUUCUUUCUGUGCCGGACACUGCGCUCCCUAGGGGUCCAGGUUUGCCGAGUCUCAGUUGUACCUGAUGAGGUAGCCACCAUUGCAGCUGAGGUCACUUCUUUCUCCAACCGCUUCACCCAUGUCCUCACAGCAGGGGGCAUCGGCCCCACUCAUGAUGAUGUGACCUUUGAGGCAGUGGCACAGGCCUUUGGAGAUGAGCUGAAGCCACACCCCAAGUUGGAAGCAGCCACCAAAGCCCUAGGAGGGGAAGGCUGGGAGAAGCUAUCAUUGGUGCCCUCCUCUGCCCGCCUGCAUUAUGGCACAGAUCCUUGCACUGGUCAACCUUUCAGAUUCCCUCUGGUCUCCGUCCGAAACGUCUACCUCUUCCCAGGCAUUCCAGAGCUGCUGCGGCGGGUGCUGGAGGGGAUGAAGGGACUAUUCCAAAACCCAGCUGUUCAGUUCCACUCAAAGGAGCUAUAUGUGGCUGCUGAUGAAGCCUCCAUCGCCCCCAUUCUGGCUGAGGCCCAGGCCCACUUUGGACGUAGGCUUGGCCUGGGUUCCUACCCUGACUGGGGCAGCAACUACUAUCAGGUGAAGCUGACUCUAGACUCAGAGGAAGAAGGACCCCUGGAGGAAUGCCUGGCCUACCUGACUGCCCGUUUGCCCCAGGGAUCGCUGGUCCCCUACAUGCCCAACGCUGUGGAGCAGGCCAGUGAGGCUGUAUACAAACUCGCUGAAUCAGGGUCUUCUUUGGGGAAAAAGGUGGCAGGUGCCCUACAGACCAUUGAGACCGCCCUGGCUCAGUACAGCCUCACCCAGCUCUGUGUGGGCUUCAACGGGGGCAAAGACUGCACUGCCCUCCUGCACCUCUUCCAUGCAGCUGUGCAGAGGAAAUUACCUGAUGUUCCAAACUCCCUCCAGAUCCUGUAUAUCCGCAGCAUCUCCCCUUUCCCUGAGCUGGAACAAUUUCUACAGGACACUAUCAAGAGGUAUAAUCUGCAGAUGUUGGAAGCUGAGGGCAGCAUGAAGCAGGCCCUGGGUGAACUGCAGGCACGGCACCCCCAGCUGGAGGCUGUCCUUAUGGGCACCCGCCGGACUGACCCCUACUCCUGUAGCCUCUGCCCUUUCAGCCCCACUGACGCAGGCUGGCCUGCAUUCAUGCGCAUCAACCCACUGCUGAGCAAGCUAUACCAGAGAAUCAGAUAGCAAGCCCUCCCUCAGAGGCCAAGGGAGCAGAAGAGCCAUGGAUGGGCCCCUUCCCAGGACAGCAGGGGUAGAAGUGGGAAAGGUGAGCAUUUGUGACUAUUCUAUUACUCUGACCUCCCAGGACUGGACCUACAGAGACAUCUGGGAUUUUCUGCGUCAGCUGUUUGUCCCAUACUGUAUCCUGUAUGACCGAGGAUACACAUCACUGGGGAGUCGGGAGAAUACCGUGCGGAACCCGGCCCUGAAGUGCCUGAGCCCAGGAGGACACCCCACAUACCGUCCAGCCUAUCUACUGGAGAAUGAAGAAGAGGAGCGGAACUCCCGCACAUGACCUCCCACCCUAGGAGGGAGGGAAGGACACUAUCCUAGGGUAUAAGCUGGCAAUAAACCGUGCCUCUCACUGUG